GAUGAACGCUGGCGGCGUGCUUAACACAUGCAAGUCGAACGGAAAGGCUCCUGCUUGCAGGGGCACUCGAGUGGCGAACGGGUGAGUAACACGUGGGUGAUCUGCCCUGCACUUCGGGAUAAGCCUGGGAAACUGGGUCUAAUACCGGAUAGGACCAUCGUUUAGUGUUGGUGGUGGAAAGUUUUUCCGGUGUGGGAUGAGCUCGCGGCCUAUCAGCUUGUUGGUGGGGUAAUGGCCUACCAAGGCGUCGACGGGUAGCCGGCCUGAGAGGGUGUACGGCCACAUUGGGACUGAGAUACGGCCCAGACUCCUACGGGAGGCAGCAGUGGGGAAUAUUGCACAAUGGGCGCAAGCCUGAUGCAGCGACGCCGCGUGGGGGAUGACGGCCUUCGGGUUGUAAACUCCUUUCGCCAGGGACGAAGCGAAAGUGACGGUACCUGGAUAAGAAGCACCGGCUAACUACGUG
RNAcentral lists this ribosomal RNA (466 nucleotides) under uncultured bacterium. Its description in RNAcentral is "partial 16S ribosomal RNA". It matches the Rfam family "Bacterial small subunit ribosomal RNA", at positions 28 to 507 of the family's 1533-position model. The record is from RNAcentral.